RNAcentral lists this long non-coding RNA (356 nucleotides) under Equus caballus (horse). RNAcentral describes it as "lncRNA (ENSECAG00000040561.3)". Lineage: Eukaryota; Metazoa; Chordata; Mammalia; Perissodactyla; Equidae. The record is from RNAcentral.
CCAGCCAUCAAAGCAUUGUGACUUUUUUUCAGUUAAAUACAUGUUUGUAUAUAUAACAUAUUAGUUUAGCACAGAGCAUGAUAAAUUUCAUCUGCUGGGGGCUAGAGGUCAGGGAAGCUGAUGCUGCAGGUGAUGAAGUCGCCAACAAGGGCCGCACUAACAUUAAGCAGAUGUUUUGGGAGAGCUCACCAGUACAGCGCCCUGAAUCUCAUGUCUGCCCACACUUCCGGUAACUGAAGCUGCCUGCGUAAUGUAAUGAACUCCCAAGAACCCUCUUUGCAUGCUCCUGAUAAAUAAUGAAGAUAUACAAAAUCUAAUUUAAAAAAAGACAACGAAUAAAAAUUUUGAAAGUGCUA